GACUUGGUUUCAUUUAUGUUUUAGAUACUGACAUUAGGAUAUGUGCAGCUAAUUUGUUUAUUUAAGGUAAAAUCUUUACGGGGAAAAAAAAGAGAGAACCCCAUUACAGAACAGCUGGUGGUUCCACUGUUGAGAAAGAAAGAAGUGAGAAAAAGCCACUGUCAUCUCUCAGCUUCUCAUCCAUGCUGGAGGUCUUUAUACAUGGUCUCCUUACUGCGCACCUCUGUACCUGUCUCCACUCCUUUCUUCCUCCCAGUAAGGGACCUUCCAAUGGGAUACCAGGGAUCGAACUCGGGACUAAGUCA
Long non-coding RNA from Fukomys damarensis (Damara mole-rat), 305 nucleotides. RefSeq lists it as uncharacterized. The transcript has 3 exons. The record is from RefSeq and is a predicted model, not a curated record. Lineage: Eukaryota; Metazoa; Chordata; Mammalia; Rodentia; Bathyergidae.